Molecule: ribosomal RNA, 233 nt
Filed under: uncultured bacterium
Lineage: Bacteria
Description: partial 16S ribosomal RNA
Rfam family: Bacterial small subunit ribosomal RNA
Source: RNAcentral
CGGGACGGGUGAGUAAUGUCUGGGAAACUGCCUGAUGGAGGGGGAUAACUGCUGGAAACGGUAGCUAAUACCGCGUAACGUCGCAAGACCAAAGAGGGGGACCUUCGGGCCUCUUGCCAUCGGAUGUGCCCAGAUGGGAUUAGCUAGUAGGUGGGGUAACGGCUCACCUAGGCGACGAUCCCUAGCUGGUCUGAGAGGAUGACCAGCCACACUGGAACUGAGACACGGUCCAG